AGUGAACGCUGGCGGCGUGCCUAAUACAUGCAAGUCGAACGAAGUGUCGCACGGGUGUGUAAUAUAUAGUUAAUCUGCCCUUCACAGAGUAACAACCGUUGGAAACGACUGCUAAUACACCAUAGUGUAGGAUGAGACUAUAUCGUAUCAGCUAGUUGGUUAGGGAAUGGCUUACCAAGGCUAUGACGCGUAACUGGUCUGGGAGGAUGAUCAGUCACGUUGGAACUGAGGCACGGUUCAAAUACCUACGGGAGGCAGCAGUAAGGAAGCAUGCGCAAUGGGGGCAACCCUGACGCAGCAACGCGGGGUGGAGGAUGACACUUUUCGGAGCGUAAACUCCUUUUAUCAGGAAGGCGGUACCUGAAGAAGAAGCACCGGCUAACUCCGUGCCAGCAGCCGCGGUAAUUC
RNAcentral lists this ribosomal RNA (408 nucleotides) under uncultured bacterium. RNAcentral describes it as "partial 16S ribosomal RNA". It matches the Rfam family "Bacterial small subunit ribosomal RNA", at positions 29 to 526 of the family's 1533-position model. The record is from RNAcentral.